CCUCGAUAAAGGCAAACCUGCUGAAAAGCAGGGACGCAAAGUAACGGGUCUAAUGAAUUGUUUUUAAAAGAAAUAAUUCGAUGACAGCCGGACUGCCUGG
This 100-nucleotide non-coding RNA is filed under the name Salipaludibacillus aurantiacus. Its description in RNAcentral is "GEMM cis-regulatory element". It matches the Rfam family "c-di-GMP-I riboswitch aptamer". From Rfam's summary of the family: GEMM was predicted in a large-scale screen for bacterial structured RNA regulatory elements. Genes associated with GEMM are involved in a diverse array of functions, including chemotaxis regulation, signal transduction, secretion and chitin. Lineage: Bacteria; Bacillati; Bacillota; Bacilli; Caryophanales; Bacillaceae. The record is from RNAcentral.